Molecule: transfer RNA, 46 nt
Filed under: Valvatida sp. 1-EK-2003
Lineage: Eukaryota; Metazoa; Echinodermata; Asteroidea; Valvatida
Description: tRNA-OTHER
Source: RNAcentral
CUUUGAAGGCUUUUAGUUUAGAUUAACCUAAACCUCUUUAUAUAAA